Molecule: non-coding RNA, 172 nt
Organism: Vicugna pacos (alpaca)
Lineage: Eukaryota; Metazoa; Chordata; Mammalia; Artiodactyla; Camelidae
Source: Rfam
UGCCAGUGCGUUUACAUGGGUGUGGUACUAAGUGUGUCUUGUUUACCUUAUCUUUCUUUGGAAAAAGUUUUGAAGUCUGGUUGGGUUUGUCACAUCAUGCCUGUUGCCUAGCACCACCAAAAGUGUUCUUAUCUAGCAACAGAGACUGGAUAGGUGGAGGUUGUAGCUUGUC